CGGUAAUACGUAGGUGGCAAGCGUUGUCCGGAAUCAUUGGGCGUAAAGAGCGCGUAGGUGGCUUGUCAGGUCUGAUGUGAAAUUUCGGGGCUCAACCCCGAACCUGCAUCGGAAACCGGCUUGCUUGAGUCUGGGAGAGGAGAGUGGAAUUCCUGGUGUAGCGGUGAAAUGCGUAGAUAUCAGGAGGAACACCGGUAGCGAAGGCGGCUCUCUGGAACAGUACUGACGCUGAGGCGCGAAAGCUAGGGGAGCAAACAGGAUUAGAUACCCUGGUAGUCCUAGCCGUAAACGAUGGACACUAGGUGUCGGGGGUGUCGACUCCCCCGGUGCCGAAGCUAACGCAUUAAGUGUCCCGCCUGGGGAGUACGGCCGCAAGGCUAAA
Molecule: ribosomal RNA, 382 nt
Filed under: uncultured bacterium
Lineage: Bacteria
Description: bacterial SSU rRNA
Rfam family: Bacterial small subunit ribosomal RNA
Source: RNAcentral